AACGAACGCUGGCGGCAUGCCUAACACAUGCAAGUCGAACGAGACCUUCGGGUCUAGUGGCGCACGGGUGCGUAACGCGUGGGAACCUGCCCUUAGGUUCGGAAUAACUCCCUGACAGGGGUGCUAAUGCCGGAUAAUGUAUUCUGACAAAAGAUUUAUCGCCUUUGUAUGGGCCCGCGUUGGUUUAGCUAGUUGGUAGUGUAAAAGCCUACCAAGGCGAGGAUCGAUAGCUGGUAUGAGAGGAAGAGCAGCGACACUGGGAGGGAGACACGGUCCAGAAUAUUACGGGAGGCAGCAGAGGGGAAUAUAGGAAUAUGGGGGAAAGCAUGAACGAGUAAUGCUGGGUGAGUGAUGAAGGUCUGAGGGUUGUGCAGCUCUUUUACACGGGACGAUAAUGACAGUACCGGGAGAAUAAGCUCCGGCUAACUCCGUG
RNAcentral lists this ribosomal RNA (433 nucleotides) under uncultured bacterium. Its description in RNAcentral is "partial 16S ribosomal RNA". It matches the Rfam family "Bacterial small subunit ribosomal RNA", at positions 29 to 507 of the family's 1533-position model. The record is from RNAcentral.